This is a small nuclear RNA of Malus domestica (apple), 120 nucleotides long. RefSeq annotates it as U5 spliceosomal RNA. NCBI's taxonomy places the organism in Eukaryota, Viridiplantae, Streptophyta, Magnoliopsida, Rosales, Rosaceae. The record is from RefSeq and is a predicted model, not a curated record.
AGCCACGAGGUGAGCACAAAGCGAACUACUCCUUCACCCUUUACUAAAAAAAUGCCGUGUGCUAGCUGCAAUUAGUGGCAUACGCCAAUUUUUUUAGGAGUUUCUCUUCACAGAGGAGCU